UCGCUUAUUGAAAAUAUAAUAGGUCAAUCCUGCCCGGUGAAUUUUUUUAACGGCCGCGGUAUACUGACCGUGCAAAGGUAGCAUAAUCAUUUGCCUUUUAAUUGAAGGUUAGUAUGAAUGGAUAAACAAGAAUAAAGCUGUCUCAUUUGAGAUAAAAUAAACUAAUAUUCAGGUGAAGAAGCCUGACUAUAUAUAAAGGACAAGAAGACCCUAUAGAGCUUUACUAAGUAAGAUAUUAACAACAUAACCUAGUUUGGUUGGGACAACCAAAAGACACAUUUACCUCUAACUCGCUAUAAAUACACACACCCAAUAAUGAAAUAGAAUAAGCUACCUUAGGGAUAACAGGCUAAUUCCGUUAAAGAGACCACAUUGACAACGGAGUUUGGCACCUCGAUGUUGGCUUAGUGUAACUAUUAAGUGCAGAAGCUUAAUUAAGUUGGUUUGUUCAACCAUUAAAUCACUA
Molecule: ribosomal RNA, 466 nt
Filed under: Neanthes meggitti
Lineage: Eukaryota; Metazoa; Annelida; Polychaeta; Phyllodocida; Nereididae
Description: partial 16S ribosomal RNA
Rfam family: Bacterial large subunit ribosomal RNA
Source: RNAcentral